UUUAUUUGCUCUCUUCUUCUCUCCUUGUAGAGGCUCCUUUCAUAUGAAUCACGUGUGUGAAGCUCCUUGUGCCAUUUAAAAUUCUUUCUGUUAGUUCCAUUCUAUCUACAUCUGAAGGAAUAUUCAAUGGAAAGAUUUGGGGUAGAGUGUGGAGCGGAAUGUUUGAGAUUACGUAUAAACUCAUCACUGGAUUUUGAGACAGGCUAAGUCUCCACUACAGAUAACAAACUUGUCUUAAAGACUUGCCCUGAAUUCUUUCUUGCAUGGAAUCCAAGAACCCUCUCUUGGGGUCUGGAUUGGCACCGCUUCCCAGUAACAUCUUCCUGGCAACCAUGAAGGGACUACACUGAGGAGACCCCCUACACAAAGGAAAUAGAAUGCAGCAUCAAUGGGCAGCUUUUGGAGGGGGAGACUUCAGAGCUCAUGAGACUGCUGGAAAAGUUUCCUUUGCCACUGGCAAACAGCUGCCUGAACUUUUGAUUCAGUGUUGCUGC
This is a long non-coding RNA of Cebus imitator (Panamanian white-faced capuchin), 494 nucleotides long. RefSeq lists it as uncharacterized. The transcript has 3 exons. The record is from RefSeq and is a predicted model, not a curated record. Lineage: Eukaryota; Metazoa; Chordata; Mammalia; Primates; Cebidae.